Molecule: non-coding RNA, 808 nt
Organism: Anolis sagrei ordinatus
Lineage: Eukaryota; Metazoa; Chordata; Lepidosauria; Squamata; Anolidae
Source: RefSeq, a predicted model, not a curated record
UCUGAACUUAAUAGACAGCUAAAGAAAAAGUCAUUUGGGGGACAGUUGCCGAACUAGUCCUGUCUGAGUGGAAUAAAUGUCCUCCAAAGGAGUUGAAUGUAUGGGACAGACUGUACUGAGGAGGUGAACCUGCAGGUAACCUGGACCCAAAACAUGUAGGACUUUAAAGCCAAACAAGGCGAAAAAGAUAAUAUCACUGGAACAUCAUUGUCUUAAAGGAAAUGCUUUGAUUCCCAGUAAAAAACAUCAGUGAUAUGCUAGAGAUCACCAGACUGGGCCACAGCAACACGUGGCAGGGGAUUGCUAGCUGACAGGAUGUAAGAAGCAAGGAGGAAAAGGUUUAAAUCUCUCUACAGUCAAAGCAUAUGGAACUUGUCAACUCAGAGGCAAUCAAGCUUGGCUACUUUAUGCAGGAGAAAGGAAGAGGAAAUCUGGGAUUAUAAAAUCCAGUGCACAGAGUGAGAAAUGAGUCUGUAAAUGGACCAUGCAAAGGAGAACUUUUAAUCCUAGAACUGUGUUUUUCAUUCAAUAGGAACGCUAUGGAAUGCUGAACUUGUACAUUCAGUUCAUCCAUGGGUACAUGUCUUAAAAUAGAGCACAUAUGUUAUAUUUCAAAUUGCAUGACACCUCAUGAGAGCACUGGAUCCAGCUAUACUAUAGAUUCGAUAUCAUAGGAACAUUGUAUACACAGAAACCAAUUUGUCUGGCUUCCUUUUCAAUACAGCACCUGAACUAUGCUGGCCCUUUAAUAAAAUGAAGCUCUUACUCUUAAAACAUCAUUAAAAUGCUGCAGGCUUCUAAAUAAACA